CCAAGGUUUCCAGGGGAAGGUUCGUCCGCCCUGGGUUAGUCGGGACCUAAGCUGAGGCCGAAAGGCGUAGGUGAUGGACAACAGGUUGAUAUUCCUGUACUAUCGAUAACCGUUUGAGAGAAGGGAUGACACAGUAGGAUAAGCUAAGCACACUGUUGGUUAUGUGUGCCCAAGCAUUGAGGCAGUCAAAGUAGGCAAAUCCGCU
This 205-nucleotide ribosomal RNA is filed under the name Clostridioides difficile. RNAcentral's name for it is "partial 23S ribosomal RNA". It matches the Rfam family "Bacterial large subunit ribosomal RNA", at positions 1345 to 1546 of the family's 2925-position model. Lineage: Bacteria; Bacillati; Bacillota; Clostridia; Peptostreptococcales; Peptostreptococcaceae. The record is from RNAcentral.